GUAGUAUUGUGGUAUCUCCAUCCUCUGAUUGGGCGUUUAGUAUAAGUUGCCUGAAUGACUCGUAUAUUGUUGGAUCAAAAAAUGCUAAAUCGUAAAAUUUAAUUUUUCUUCCUAAUAUAAAUUUUAAUACAUGUCGUUGCAAAAAAAGGGGAAGCAAUUCAUUUUGCAGCAAACAUAGUCCGACUAAUCUGAAAUAUAAUUUCAGUUUUGCUUAAUAAUUAAAACAGAUAAAACAAACAAUAAGAGAAAACAUUAACUUCGAUUGCACCUAUCCAAGCAUUGCCUCAAGCAAUAAUACUCUUGACAGACCAUAAAAAAGGACAGCCCAUUCUACGCUUCUGAAUUGACCUCGAGUUAAUCCGCCCAAAACCAAAUGCCGUUAUUUCGGCGAUCCAACCCUCCUUGGAUUGGUAAGCUUUAGCUUAAGUUUAUCACAUCCUCCUGAUCCUUGUUGGAUCAAAUUAAGUCCAACUCAGACCCGAAGGAAUUUUUCUGCAGUGUUUGUACCAAACUGCUCCAUUCAACUUCGGUUAGGUGUAAUACAUGUAAUGGAUAGAGCUAUCUUAAGAUCUGUCAGGCCUUAAGACACAUAGGAAUUCGCCCACACUUUAUUUGGCGAAAUAUUGCCAACGCACUACUGCAAAAAUGGCCUCUACGACCCUGAAAAAUGCGGUCCCAAGGAGCUCAACUAGCAAGCUUGACUUCCCAAUCAGUCAAUAUAUAAAAUAGGUUUUUUACCCAAUUUCCAUUUUCUAUUAAUGCUACUUGGUAGCAGUUCUAGUUUUUCGAUAUUCUAGCCAACCAGCACAAAAUUAAAAACCGUAAUACUAUAAAAAGUUGAAGUUCGCCAACCAAGGAAGAACUAACGAAAGAGCUCCAGAAGUCCAUUGCGUGAGCGGGGGCAGUCUUGCCACAUUUUAAACUUGAACCGACAGUAGUGGUAGUAAAGCGACAGAGGUCAACUGAAGAGGCUAAGUCGUCAGCCAAAAGACCGAAAACUAAGGGUGUGACACCAGCAUAAUCAUUUGCUGCUGCGGCCUGGAACCGAAUUGCAGUGUUGGAAAAGGGAGAUCCCGAAGGAAAAAUUUCCAGAGCCCAAUGGAAAUGGGUGCAAGUUGCGCUGACAGAUGUGACACUGGAGGGGCUACUAAGAAAUCCGGAUCAGCCACCGACAUGCAGGAAACUAGCUCCAAUAGCCCUAAUUAACCGUCUGGCAAUAGAACAGACUGAGUUUGUCCUCAUUCAGGAGCCAUGGCUUAAUGGAGGGCGCAUUUGCGGACUGAGGACACCGAACUAUAAGCUAUAUAUGGCAAAUUAUGAAGCACUAAGCUGGGAGACGGGAGGAAGUGUUUACCGACUGGUGCCAGGUUAUAUGCCAUACUAUGAGGAGCAAGUACCAUCUGAGGUGGCAAAAGAGUUGGUACGGGAGAGCGAGGGAUCCAUAGCUGAUUAUACUUGGAUGUGACACAGACGUCAAUGAUAGAGGUGCACGAGCUACGUAUGAGCUGGAAAAAAUAAUAGGCACAAAUUUAGAUAUUCAUUGAAGUGAAAUAAAAACCAUUAUUAAAUUAAGAAAAUCGAGAAAAGCUAUUCGUGGAAUAACGGACAUAAUGGAAUUCUACAAAAAUAUGGUCUGUAAUGCCUUCAAAACACGCGUAAAAAGGGAAAAAAGAAGACGGAAACGAAAAAAAUGGCACAGUUUGACCAUUUGCUGGCAGUGCAACCAAAAAAGGUUCAAUUUUUAUCUUCUGAAAAUAUUAAAAAUUUACUAAAUGCCUCAGUGACCAGUCGCACAGUUAGAAACCGACUUCGAGAAGCUGAUCUAACUAAAAUAAAUGCAAGAACAGUUCCGUUUUUAAACAAACAAUCUGUAAAAAAGAACACCGGUCACGACUUGUACUAAUAUGGUCAGCUAAAUGCCCCGAAAAAGGAUUUAAAUGGAAGAAAAAUAAUAAUUAAAUAAAAUGACACAAAAAAAUUAACUAAUGUUUGUCCCUCUUUUUACUUCCAGGCUGAUAUACAAAAUGUAUCCGUUUUCACUUUGUAAACUAAAAUAAACCUUAAAUAAGUACUCAGAU
This is a non-coding RNA of Bactrocera oleae (olive fruit fly), 2078 nucleotides long. NCBI's taxonomy places the organism in Eukaryota, Metazoa, Arthropoda, Insecta, Diptera, Tephritidae. The record is from RefSeq and is a predicted model, not a curated record.